This is a small nucleolar RNA of Dipodomys ordii (Ord's kangaroo rat), 218 nucleotides long. The record is from Ensembl. Lineage: Eukaryota; Metazoa; Chordata; Mammalia; Rodentia; Heteromyidae.
AAGACUAUACUUUCAGGGAUCAUUUCUCUAGUUCGUUACUAGAGAAAUCACACUGAUCGUGUAGAGCACCCCAAACCACGAGGAAGAGGUGUAGUGUUCUCUCCUGAGCGUGAGGCUGGCUCUAGGUGUUGCUUUACUGCAACUGCCUUUUGCCAUUGAUGAUCCUUCUUCCCUUCCUUCGCUAAGGGUUAGAGGGAGAGAAUGCAGUCUGAGUGGUA